RNAcentral lists this ribosomal RNA (460 nucleotides) under uncultured bacterium. Its description in RNAcentral is "partial 16S ribosomal RNA". It matches the Rfam family "Bacterial small subunit ribosomal RNA", at positions 338 to 795 of the family's 1533-position model. The record is from RNAcentral.
CCUACGGGUGGCAGCAGUGAGGAAUAUUGGUCAAUGGGCGCAAGCCUGAACCAGCCAAGUAGCGUGAAGGAUGACGGCCCUAUGGGUUGUAAACUUCUUUUAUAAGGGGAUAAAGUGCGUCACGUGUGCCGUUUUGUAUGUACCUUAUGAAUAAGGAUCGGCUAAUUCCGUGCCAGCAGCCGCGGUAAUACGGAGGGUCCGGGCGUUAUCCGGAUUUAUUGGGUUUAAAGGGAGCGUAGACGGGUUGUUAAGUCAGUUGUGAAAGUUCGCGGCUCAACCGUGGAAUUGCAGUUGAUACUGGCAGUCUUGAGUGCAGUGGAGGUAGGCGGAAUUCGUGGUGUAGCGGUGAAAUGCUUAGAUAUCACGAAGAACUCCGAUUGCGAAGGCAGCUUACUGAACUGCUACUGACGCUGAGGCUCGAAAGUGUGGGUAUCAAACAGGAUUAGAUACCCGUGUAGUC